This 1530-nucleotide ribosomal RNA is filed under the name Staphylococcus aureus. Its description in RNAcentral is "partial 23S ribosomal RNA". It matches the Rfam family "Bacterial large subunit ribosomal RNA", at positions 1 to 1530 of the family's 2925-position model. Lineage: Bacteria; Bacillati; Bacillota; Bacilli; Caryophanales; Staphylococcaceae. The record is from RNAcentral.
AGAUUAAGUUAUUAAGGGCGCACGGUGGAUGCCUUGGCACUAGAAGCCGAUGAAGGACGUUACUAACGACGAUAUGCUUUGGGGAGCUGUAAGUAAGCUUUGAUCCAGAGAUUUCCGAAUGGGGAAACCCAGCAUGAGUUAUGUCAUGUUAUCGAUAUGUGAAUACAUAGCAUAUCAGAAGGCACACCCGGAGAACUGAAACAUCUUAGUACCCGGAGGAAGAGAAAGAAAAUUCGAUUCCCUUAGUAGCGGCGAGCGAAACGGGAAGAGCCCAAACCAACAAGCUUGCUUGUUGGGGUUGUAGGACACUCUAUACGGAGUUACAAAGGACGACAUUAGACGAAUCAUCUGGAAAGAUGAAUCAAAGAAGGUAAUAAUCCUGUAGUCGAAAAUGUUGUCUCUCUUGAGUGGAUCCUGAGUACGACGGAGCACGUGAAAUUCCGUCGGAAUCUGGGAGGACCAUCUCCUAAGGCUAAAUACUCUCUAGUGACCGAUAGUGAACCAGUACCGUGAGGGAAAGGUGAAAAGCACCCCGGAAGGGGAGUGAAAUAGAACCUGAAACCGUGUGCUUACAAGUAGUCAGAGCCCGUUAAUGGGUGAUGGCGUGCCUUUUGUAGAAUGAACCGGCGAGUUACGAUUUGAUGCAAGGUUAAGCAGUAAAUGUGGAGCCGUAGCGAAAGCGAGUCUGAAUAGGGCGUUUAGUAUUUGGUCGUAGACCCGAAACCAGGUGAUCUACCCUUGGUCAGGUUGAAGUUCAGGUAACACUGAAUGGAGGACCGAACCGACUUACGUUGAAAAGUGAGCGGAUGAACUGAGGGUAGCGGAGAAAUUCCAAUCGAACCUGGAGAUAGCUGGUUCUCUCCGAAAUAGCUUUAGGGCUAGCCUCAAGUGAUGAUUAUUGGAGGUAGAGCACUGUUUGGACGAGGGGCCCCUCUCGGGUUACCGAAUUCAGACAAACUCCGAAUGCCAAUUAAUUUAACUUGGGAGUCAGAACAUGGGUGAUAAGGUCCGUGUUCGAAAGGGAAACAGCCCAGACCACCAGCUAAGGUCCCAAAAUAUAUGUUAAGUGGAAAAGGAUGUGGCGUUGCCCAGACAACUAGGAUGUUGGCUUAGAAGCAGCCAUCAUUUAAAGAGUGCGUAAUAGCUCACUAGUCGAGUGACACUGCGCCGAAAAUGUACCGGGGCUAAACAUAUUACCGAAGCUGUGGAUUGUCCUUUGGACAAUGGUAGGAGAGCGUUCUAAGGGCGUUGAAGCAUGAUCGUAAGGACAUGUGGAGCGCUUAGAAGUGAGAAUGCCGGUGUGAGUAGCGAAAGACGGGUGAGAAUCCCGUCCACCGAUUGACUAAGGUUUCCAGAGGAAGGCUCGUCCGCUCUGGGUUAGUCGGGUCCUAAGCUGAGGCCGACAGGCGUAGGCGAUGGAUAACAGGUUGAUAUUCCUGUACCACCUAUAAUCGUUUUAAUCGAUGGGGGGACGCAGUAGGAUAGGCGAAGCGUGCGAUUGGAUUGCACGUCUAAGCAGUAAGGCUGAGU